GUUGUAGCUCAGUGGUAGAGUAUUCGUCUAGCAUGUGUGAGGCCCUGGGUUCAAUCCUCAGCACAACA
RNAcentral lists this transfer RNA (68 nucleotides) under Marmota monax (woodchuck). RNAcentral's name for it is "tRNA.Ala". The stretch from base 3 to 63 matches the Rfam family "tRNA", at positions 6 to 65 of the family's 71-position model. From Rfam's summary of the family: Transfer RNA (tRNA) molecules are approximately 80 nucleotides in length. Lineage: Eukaryota; Metazoa; Chordata; Mammalia; Rodentia; Sciuridae. The record is from RNAcentral.